This 104-nucleotide microRNA precursor is filed under the name Canis lupus familiaris (dog). RNAcentral's name for it is "mir-8834 microRNA precursor family". It matches the Rfam family "mir-8834 microRNA precursor family". The record is from Rfam by way of RNAcentral. RNAcentral also lists the same sequence under 1 other name. Lineage: Eukaryota; Metazoa; Chordata; Mammalia; Carnivora; Canidae.
AGGAGGAACAGCCCCAGUGGCGGGGCAGCUCUGGAAACCUGGAUUCAGCUCCGGCAGGAACUCCGGAGCUCUCGGUCUGCAGGGCCUGGAGGCUCCGGGGCGGG